GUCUGUAUGAAGGUGUAUAGAGUCUGGCCUGCCCACUGACUUAAGGUUGUUUAAAGGGCCGCGGUAUUUUGACCGUGCGAAGGUAGCAUAAUCAUUAGUCUUUUAAUUGAAGGCUUGUAUGAAUGGUCGGACAAAAAGUGAGCUGUCUACAAUUAUAAAAAUUGAAUCUGACCUUUAAGUGAAAAGGCUUAAAUAUAACAAAGUGACGAUAAGACCCUAUAAAGCUUUAAAGCUUGAAUUUUUUAUUACAAAUUAUUAAAUAAUAUAACUUAAUCUAAAAGGAAGCUUUUUUGUUGGGGCGACAAAAAUAUAAAUAAAUAACUGUUUUUGUUUCAGUAAAACAACGAUAAUUGGACUAGAAAAUGAUCCUUUAUUAAAGAUUAAAAGAUUAAGUUACUUUAGGGAUAACAGCGUAAUCUUCUUUGAGAGUUCAUAUCGACAAGAAGGGUUGCGACCUCGAUGUUGAAUUAAGGUUCCUUUAUGGUGUAGCAGUUAUAACAGGAGGUCUGUUCGACCUUUAAAUCCUU
This 527-nucleotide ribosomal RNA is filed under the name Parasergestes armatus. Its description in RNAcentral is "partial 16S ribosomal RNA". It matches the Rfam family "Bacterial large subunit ribosomal RNA", at positions 1829 to 2597 of the family's 2925-position model. The record is from RNAcentral. Lineage: Eukaryota; Metazoa; Arthropoda; Malacostraca; Decapoda; Sergestidae.